UACGUAGGGUGCAAGCGUUAUCCGGAAUUGUUGGGCGUAAAGAGCUCGUAGGCGGUUUGUCGCGUCUGCCGUGAAAGUCCGGGGCUCAACUCCGGAUCUGCGGUGGGUACGGGCAGACUAGAGUGCAGUAGGGGAGACUGGAAUUCCUGGUGUAGCGGUGAAAUCCGCAGAUAUCAGGAGGAACACCGAUGGCGAAGGCAGGUCUCUGGGCUGUAACUGACGCUGAGGAGCGAAAGCAUGGGGAGCGAACAGG
This 253-nucleotide ribosomal RNA is filed under the name uncultured bacterium. Its description in RNAcentral is "partial 16S ribosomal RNA". It matches the Rfam family "Bacterial small subunit ribosomal RNA", at positions 524 to 776 of the family's 1533-position model. The record is from RNAcentral.